Molecule: ribosomal RNA, 481 nt
Filed under: Xanthophyllum flavescens
Lineage: Eukaryota; Viridiplantae; Streptophyta; Magnoliopsida; Fabales; Polygalaceae
Also listed under: 1 other name
Description: eukaryotic LSU rRNA
Rfam family: 5.8S ribosomal RNA (bases 5-160)
Source: RNAcentral
AAAUGACUCUCGGCAACGGAUAUCUCGGCUCUCGCAUCGAUGAAGAACGUAGCGAAAUGCGAUACUUGGUGUGAAUUGCAGAAUCCCGCGAACCAUCGAGUCUUUGAACGCAAGUUGCGCCCGAAGCCUUCGGGCCGAGGGCACGUCUGCCUGGGUGUCACGCACAGUCGCCCCUGCCGCACCGUCUCCUCGGUGAAGGGUUGGGGCCGGAUGUUGGUCUCCCGCGAGCCGCGACUCGCGGAUGGCUUAAAAUCGGAGUCCGUGACGCCGGACAUCGCGUCGCAUGGUGGGUGAGGAAAUCUCGAGACCCGUCGCGGGUGUCGUCACGGUUCGGCACAACCUCGGAGCGCUGUUGGCAGCGCCUUUCGACGCGACCCCAGGUCGGGCGGGACUACCCGCUGAGUUUAAGCAUAUCAAUAAGCGGAGGAAAAGAAACUUACGAGGAUUCCCUUAGUAACGGCGAGCGAACCGGGAAGAGCCC